This 299-nucleotide ribosomal RNA is filed under the name uncultured bacterium. RNAcentral describes it as "partial 16S ribosomal RNA". It matches the Rfam family "Bacterial small subunit ribosomal RNA", at positions 1036 to 1341 of the family's 1533-position model. The record is from RNAcentral.
AGGUGCUGCAUGGCUGUCGUCAGCUCGUGUCGUGAGAUGUUGGGUUAAGUCCCGCAACGAGCGCAACCCUUGCCAUUAGUUGCUACGAAAGGGCACUNUAAUGGGACUGCCGGUGACAAACCGGAGGAAGGUGGGGAUGACGUCAAGUCCUCAUGGCCCUUAUAGGUGGGGCUACACACGUCAUACAAUGGNUGGUACAGAGGGUUGCCAACCCGCGAGGGGGAGCCAAUCCCACAAAGCCAGUCGUAGUCCGGAUCGCAGUCUGCAACUCGACUGCGUGAAGUCGGAAUCGCUAGUAA